This is a long non-coding RNA of Oncorhynchus tshawytscha (Chinook salmon), 392 nucleotides long. The record is from Ensembl. Lineage: Eukaryota; Metazoa; Chordata; Actinopteri; Salmoniformes; Salmonidae.
CUGUCUCUGUCGGUCUCUGAGUCUCUGUGUCUCUCUUUCUCUCUGUCUCUGUCGUUGUCUCUCUGUGUCUCUCUGUGUCUCUCUCUCUGUCUGUCUCUGUCGGUCUCUGUGUCUCUGUGUCUCUCUUUCUCUCUGUCUCUGUCGCUGUCUCUCUCUCACACUAUCUCUCUCUCCUUUCUAUCCCUUUCUUUCUUUCUCUCUCGCUCUUCCCUCAUAUAAGCUCUAAGAACACUGCAGUUGGGGCACAGAUCACCCAUUCUAUCAUUUUCACUUCAGUUCACUUCAGUGAGGAAGGAGAGGUGGAGAGAGGGAGGUGGAGAGAGGCAGGUGGAGAGAGGCAGGUGGAGAGAGGGAGGUGGAGAGAGGCAGGUGGAGAGAGGCAGGUGGAGAGA